Molecule: small nuclear RNA, 133 nt
Gene: U4
Rfam family: U4 spliceosomal RNA
About the family: U4 small nuclear RNA (U4 snRNA) is a component of the major U2-dependent spliceosome. The structure of U4 snRNA from yeast and human has been reported.
Source: Ensembl
AGCUUUGCGUGGUGGCAGUAUCAUAGCCAACAAGGUUUAUCCAAGGCAUGGUUAUUGCUAAUUGAAAACUUCUCCAGGGGCGCCAGGGUGACUCAGUCGGUUAAGCGUCUGACUUUGGCUCAGGUCAUGACCU